UAGUCAAUGGCCUAACGGCUGAACUGGCAACUUGGAGAAGUGGCAAGUCUUCCAGUAUGGGGAGCAAACAGCUAUGGGUCAAGCCCGACAUCUUUAGGAGAAGUCUUAUUGUGAGGGCGAGUUGUAAAACACCAUAGGGCUGGCCGUCCCAUAUGAAAAGAUUUUAUUAGAAUUGAAUGAAACUUUGUUUAUAUAUUGAUAAUGACAGUAUAUAUAUCGUGUCUUGACUAAUUGCGUGCCAGCAGUCGCGGUAAUACGUAAGAGACUAGUGUUAUUCAUCUUAAUUAGGUUUAAAGGGUACCCAGACGGUCAAUAUAGCUUAUAAAAUGUUAGUACUUGACUAGAGUUUUAUGUAAGAGGGCAGUACUUGAGGAGGAGAGAUGAAAUUUCGUGAUACCAAAGGGACUCUGUAAAGGCGAAGGCAGCCCUCUAUGUAAAAACUGACGUUGAAGGACGAAGGCACAGAGAACAAACAGGAUUAGAUACCCAAGUAGUCUUUGCAGUAAAUGAUGAAUGCCAUAGGUUAGAUUAAUAGUUAAUGUAUAUAGGCUAGUAUAAUAGACUAUACAUUAAAAAUUAUUUGGUCUAUAAAUGAAAGUGUAAGCAUUUCACCUCAAGAGUAAUGUGGCAACGCAGGAACUGAAAUCACUAGACCGUUUCUGACACCAGUAGUGAAGUAUGUUAUUUA
Molecule: ribosomal RNA, 688 nt
Filed under: Fusarium acuminatum
Lineage: Eukaryota; Fungi; Ascomycota; Sordariomycetes; Hypocreales; Nectriaceae
Description: SSU rRNA
Rfam family: Bacterial small subunit ribosomal RNA
Source: RNAcentral